GAGUUUGUCAAGCCAGAGAGCAACCCUCCAGCAUCCAGAUUACCCUUCGAAGACGGCAAAGAAAAAGAGAGCUCUGAAAUCACUCAACGCAUAGGAGCUGGUUCUAUAAUUUUUAGACUUUAAUUAAAUCAAUUAUUAAAGCCUUUCUUAAUGCCUUGCUGAGAUAUUCAGGCUCGGGCUGCCUCAGGAGAGAGGAAGUGGUUGAAUGCACAGAGGUGGCUAAUAAGAGGGGACACAACAUUCCAGAAUCCCGCAGGAAAGAUUCUACCAUCUCCACAGCUGCCCUUGCCGCAGUCCUCCCUACAGUUGGAGAAGAUGCCCCCAAUAACUGGGGUGUCUCGAGCUAGUGGACACAUCAUGGAGCUGGAGUGGACUGUGUCAUUAAGAUCCUCCCAUGGCCUCGUCCUGUGCUGGCCAUCGCUAUGCAUCCAGUAAGGAGGUAGAACACUGGAUUAGCCACAGAAAGCACACAGGCCUUUGCUGUGGAUGAGUCAAAGAUCCACGUGCGAGCAUCCCGUAGGGGACUUGCGUUUCAGAUCAGAUGAUGCUUUUCACGUAUGUCCAGCAGCAAGAGAAUCCUUCUCCACUGGUGAAAAAUCACGGGCCUCAGAGCAGAUUUUAGUUCAUCUUUCAUUUCAAAGCACUCCUUAGAUAUCUGCAAAUUAAAUCCCCUAAUUUGGUGAGGACGCCCAGCUUCCCAAAUAACAAGGCUUUU
This 715-nucleotide long non-coding RNA is filed under the name Pan troglodytes (chimpanzee). RNAcentral's name for it is "lincRNA". The record is from RNAcentral. Lineage: Eukaryota; Metazoa; Chordata; Mammalia; Primates; Hominidae.